GAUGAACGCUAGCGGUAGGCUUAACACAUGCAAGUCGAGGGGCAGCAUGGUCUUAGCUUGCUCAGACUGAUGGCGACCGGCGCACGGGUGCGUAACGCGUAUGCAACUUGCCUCACAGAGGGGGAUAACCCGCCGCAAGACGGACUAAUACCGCGUCCACUCCAUCUUGGGCCUCCAAGGUAGAGGAAAUGAACUUCGCUGUGAGAUAGGCAUGCGAGCCAUUAGCUGGUUGGUGAGGUAACGGCUCACCAAGGCGACGGUGGGUAGGGGAACUGAGAGGGCGAACCCCCACACGGGUACUGAGACACGGACCAGACUCCUACGGGAGGCAGCAGUGAGGAAUAUGGGGCAAGGGGCGAGAGCCUGAACCAGCCAAGUCGCGUGAAGGAGGACUGUCUUAUGGAUUGUAAACUUCUUUUAUACGGGAAUAACAAGAGUCACGUGUGACUCCCUGCAUGUACCGUAUGAAUAAGCAUCGGCUAACUCCGUG
This 490-nucleotide ribosomal RNA is filed under the name uncultured bacterium. RNAcentral describes it as "partial 16S ribosomal RNA". It matches the Rfam family "Bacterial small subunit ribosomal RNA", at positions 28 to 507 of the family's 1533-position model. The record is from RNAcentral.